AAUGGAGCUUAAUGUUAAUUUGAGCCAGAGUUAACAUUUUUUAUGUUAAAAUCGAAACGGCGAAAAUAGAUCCAAAAAAUAACUUAAUGCAGAAAAAAAAAAAAGAAAAGAAAAAAGCACAUCGAUAUUUACGUGGUUCGAUCGGCCAACGGCCUACGUCCACUGGCGAAGACGGAGCAAAUAAUUUAUUAAUGUCGAAAAGGUAGAGUAUAA
RNAcentral lists this long non-coding RNA (213 nucleotides) under Ananas comosus (pineapple). Its description in RNAcentral is "long non-coding RNA (ACOM_LNC005092)". Lineage: Eukaryota; Viridiplantae; Streptophyta; Magnoliopsida; Poales; Bromeliaceae. The record is from RNAcentral.